RNAcentral lists this ribosomal RNA (297 nucleotides) under uncultured bacterium. Its description in RNAcentral is "partial 16S ribosomal RNA". It matches the Rfam family "Bacterial small subunit ribosomal RNA", at positions 28 to 325 of the family's 1533-position model. The record is from RNAcentral.
GACGAACGCUGGCGGCGUGCCUAACACAUGCAAGUCGAACGAGGUCCAUCCUUCGGGAGAAGACCUAGUGGCGAACGGGUGAGUAACACGUGAAGAACCUGCCCCGAAGACCGGGAUAACCCUCCGAAAGGAGAGCUAAUACCGGAUACCCCCACCGAACCGCAUGGUUUGGUGAGGAAAUGGAUUCCGCUUCGGGAGGGCUUCGCGGCCUAUCAGCUAGUUGGUGGGGUAACGGCCCACCAAGGCAUCGACGGGUAGCUGGUCUGAGAGGACGAUCAGCCACACUGGGACUGAGAC